GUGAGUGUAGCUCAGUGGCAGAGCACUUGUGUGGCAUGCACAAGGUCCUGGGUUCAAACCCCAGUGCCUCCG
RNAcentral lists this transfer RNA (72 nucleotides) under Camelus bactrianus (Bactrian camel). It matches the Rfam family "tRNA". From Rfam's summary of the family: Transfer RNA (tRNA) molecules are approximately 80 nucleotides in length. Their secondary structure includes four short double-helical elements and three loops (D, anti-codon, and T loops). Further hydrogen bonds mediate the characteristic L-shaped molecular structure. tRNAs have two regions of fundamental functional importance: the anti-codon, which is responsible for specific mRNA codon recognition, and the 3' end, to which the tRNAs corresponding amino acid is attached (by aminoacyl-tRNA synthetases). tRNAs cope with the degeneracy of the genetic code in two manners: having more than one tRNA (with a specific anti-codon) for a particular amino acid; and 'wobble' base-pairing, i.e. permitting non-standard base-pairing at the 3rd anti-codon position. RNAcentral also lists the same sequence under 2 other names. Lineage: Eukaryota; Metazoa; Chordata; Mammalia; Artiodactyla; Camelidae. The record is from Rfam by way of RNAcentral.